CAAGAAAUAGUUUAAUAAAACAUUAACUUUGGGAGUUAAAGAUCAACUUCUUUUGUUUCUUGG
RNAcentral lists this transfer RNA (63 nucleotides) under Diopatra cuprea. Its description in RNAcentral is "tRNA-Pro". It matches the Rfam family "tRNA". From Rfam's summary of the family: Transfer RNA (tRNA) molecules are approximately 80 nucleotides in length. The record is from RNAcentral. Lineage: Eukaryota; Metazoa; Annelida; Polychaeta; Eunicida; Onuphidae.